Molecule: ribosomal RNA, 472 nt
Filed under: uncultured bacterium
Lineage: Bacteria
Description: bacterial SSU rRNA
Rfam family: Bacterial small subunit ribosomal RNA
Source: RNAcentral
GACGAACGCUGGCGGCGUGCCUAACACAUGCAAGUCGAGCGAGAGACUUCGGUCUCUAGCGGCGGACGGGUGAGUAACACGUGGGUAACCUGCCUCAUAGAGGGGGAUAGCCUUCCGAAAGGAAGAUUAAUACCGCAUAACAUAGUUUAGUCGCAUGACUAGAUUAUCAAAGGAGUAAUCCGCUAUGAGAUGGACCCGCGGCGCAUUAGCUAGUUGGUGAGGUAACGGCUCACCAAGGCGACGAUGCGUAGCCGACCUGAGAGGGUGAUCGGCCACAUUGGAACUGAGAUACGGUCCAAACUCCUACGGGAGGCAGCAGUGGGGAAUAUUGCACAAUGGGCGAAAGCCUGAUGCAGCAACGCCGCGUGAGUGAUGAAGGCCUUCGGGUUGUAAAGCUCUGUCUUUGGGGACGAUAAUGACGGUACCCAAGGAGGAAGCCACGGCUAACUACGUGCAGCAGCCGCCGUAAAAC